UACGGGGGGAGCAAGCGUUGUUCGGAUUUACUGGGCGUAAAGGGCGCGUAGGCGGCCACCGCAAGUCCAUUGUGAAAUCUCCGGGCUUAACUCGGAAAGGUCAACUGAUACUGCGGGGCUAGAGUGCGGAAGGGGCAACUGGAAUUCUCGGUGUAGCGGUGAAAUGCGUAGAUAUCGAGAGGAACACCUGCGGCGAAGGCGGGUUGCUGGGCCGACACUGACGCUGAUGCGCGAAAGCCAGGGGAGCGAACGGG
Molecule: ribosomal RNA, 254 nt
Filed under: uncultured bacterium
Lineage: Bacteria
Description: partial 16S ribosomal RNA
Rfam family: Bacterial small subunit ribosomal RNA
Source: RNAcentral